CGCUUACCACUUUGUGAUUCAUGACUGGGGUGAAGUCGUAACAAGGUAACCGUAGGGGAACCUGCGGUUGGAUCACCUCCUUACCUUAAAGAA
Molecule: ribosomal RNA, 93 nt
Filed under: Citrobacter freundii
Lineage: Bacteria; Pseudomonadati; Pseudomonadota; Gammaproteobacteria; Enterobacterales; Enterobacteriaceae
Also listed under: 25 other names
Description: partial 16S ribosomal RNA
Rfam family: Bacterial small subunit ribosomal RNA (bases 1-83)
Source: RNAcentral